UUCAUCAUCCUCUCCAGCUUCCAGGCUUGGCCACGGGAGGCAGCUUUGUGGAUCUUCCUGAGAUCCCCAUGGUGAAUCACCUCUGAUCCUCAAUUUUAUAUACUACACCUGGUGGUGGCUCAGUGUUCACUCCGAAAAAUGAAAAAUUGCCCAUUUUUGUGAAAAAGUUCUACUGAUAUGUGAAGUGAGUUCUAUUGGAACCACCAAGUCAUGACACCAGAAGGGAAAAGAAGUAGUUCAUCAUGAGGUGGAAAUAGUUCUCUCUCUGUGGUCCAAGCUGGAGUGCAGUGGCGGGAUCUCGGCUCACUUCAACCUCUACCUCCCGAGUUCAAGCAAAUCUCCUGCCUCAGCCUCAUGAGUAGCUGGGAUUACAGGCAUCCACCACCAGAGACGGCUAAUUUUUUCUUUGUAUACUUUUAUUUAAUUCGGCUUAGGUUACUUGUUUAUUAGUAGUAGUUUUGCAUCUAUGGGAUUGUUGUAUAAAAUAAAUGGUUUAAAUAUGUAGAA
RNAcentral lists this long non-coding RNA (507 nucleotides) under Homo sapiens (human). Its description in RNAcentral is "non-protein coding lnc-ANKRD20A2-18:1". The record is from RNAcentral. Lineage: Eukaryota; Metazoa; Chordata; Mammalia; Primates; Hominidae.